Molecule: long non-coding RNA, 1096 nt
Filed under: Calidris pugnax (ruff)
Lineage: Eukaryota; Metazoa; Chordata; Aves; Charadriiformes; Scolopacidae
Description: lncRNA (ENSCPUG00000016476.1)
Source: RNAcentral
AGAUGCACCUGAAAUGGCCACUUUAAUGUGUGCAGCCCCCCCAGGGAACGGAGACAAGAGGGAUUUGCUGGUGUAAGGCCACAGAAAUGCAGUCCAAGGUAGAUUAAGAUGAGGUGAUUUUAAGGACUUGUGAAAGCUCCGGCAGCCCCAGCUAAAACCGCAUCCGAGAAAGGACCAAGCGACACCAACACGUGAAGCCCCUGAAAAAGCCUGGAAGCAAAACAGCCAUAAUUAAAACCUGAAAGCAACGACUUCAUAAAAGAAGUAAACGAAGAGGCGGGCUCUUUGGGACCUGCAGCUUCCUCUGCAGCCAGGACCAGAGGGUUGGGAUCGCUGGAGCACCAGGAACAAGAGUGUUACCAAAGCCCCCGAGUGCUGGUGGAGGGAAUGUGCUGGCAGCGUUCACCGGGCACAGGAGGAGAGUGAAAAGUGCUCAGAUGUGUGGUCCCAUGGAAGGUUCUCCAUAAGAGACCAGUCUGGUCCACGAUGGGUGAGUUCCUGUGAAACAGUGACAUCUAAAACCGCAUCCAGCAGCUCCCCCUGGGCAGAAGGACACCGUCCUGUGAGGGGCAGAAGGGAAGGGCCUGUGAAGCCGGGGUGGAAAAUGUCCCGGGAUUUCAGGCUGUAAGAGGGAAUCACUAAGGGGAACACUCUCGUGAAGAAAAUUAGGGAAAAUUAAGACUUUAUAAAAUAGCCUCUGGUUCUCUCCUUUCACAGUAUUUCAAUUUGUAAGAUGAUGAAAACUGAAUUCACUCCAGUGGUUUGCUGGCGUCACCCAUAGGAGCCAGGCUUUCCAGAUGCUCAGAGAUGCUCAUUCCUGCUCCACCCACUCACAUCAGUUCCCACCUGGUUGAAGUUUAAGAAAACAACAGAACAAAAUCAAUCGCACAAACUCUGACAUAAAAUCCCGAGGAGAGUUAAAUACUGAUUAUCCAAAUAGAGAGGGGCUAUUUUUUAUUUAUGUUUCUCUGAGUGAUUUUAGGAAAUAUAAAACUUUUACAGUUCCUGCAGCCAAACUGCUUCUUUUGUGCUGUAAACAUGAGCUAAUUUCUUUUUUCUUUCCCCUUCUCCAAUCAAACGUCUGUCUCUUGGAGAU